RNAcentral lists this ribosomal RNA (1483 nucleotides) under metagenome. Its description in RNAcentral is "bacterial LSU rRNA". It matches the Rfam family "Bacterial large subunit ribosomal RNA", at positions 1454 to 2925 of the family's 2925-position model. The record is from RNAcentral.
UUAGGUAAGCAAUGGAGAGACGCAGGAAGGUAGCCGAACCGCGGCGAUGGUUGUUCCGCGGGUAAGGGUGUAGGGCGAGGUGUAGGCAAAUCCGCACCUCAUGUGCCUGAGACCUGACACGGACCCGUAAGGGGAAGUCGGUGAUCCUAUGCUGCCAAGAAAAUCUUCUAGCGAGGUUCUAGCCGCCCGUACCCCAAACCGACUCAGGUGGUUAGGUAGAGAAUACCAAGGCGAUCGAGUGAAUCGUGGUUAAGGAAUUCGGCAAAAUACCCCCGUAACUUCGGGAGAAGGGGGGCCCAGAGGGUGACGGGACUUGCUUCCCGAGCCUGAACGGCCGCAGAGACCAGGGAGAAGCGACUGUUUACUAAAAACACAGGUCCGUGCCAAGUCGCAAGACGAUGUAUACGGACUGACGCCUGCCCGGUGCUGGAACGUUAAGGGGACCGGUUAGCCUCACGGCGAAGCUGAGAACUUAAGCGCCAGUAAACGGCGGUGGUAACUAUAACCAUCCUAAGGUAGCGAAAUUCCUUGUCGGGUAAGUUCCGACCUGCACGAAUGGCGUAACGACUUCUCCACUGUCUCAACCACGAACUCGGCGAAAUUGCACUACGAGUAAAGAUGCUCGUUACGCGCAGAAGGACGGAAAGACCCCGGGACCUUUACUACAGCUUGGUAUUGGUGUUCGGUACGGCUUGUGUAGGAUAGGUGGGAGACUGUGAAGCUGACACGCCAGUGUCGGUGGAGUCAACGUUGAAAUACCACUCUGGUCGUUCUGGAUAUCUAACCUAGGUCCGUAAUCCGGAUCAGGGACAGUGCCUGGUGGGUAGUUUAACUGGGGCGGUUGCCUCCUAAAAGGUAACGGAGGCGCCCAAAGGUUCCCUCAGCCUGGUUGGCAAUCAGGUUUCGAGUGUAAGUGCACAAGGGAGCUUGACUGUGAGACUGACAAGUCGAACAGGGACGAAAGUCGGGACUAGUGAUCCGGCGGUGGCUUGUGGAAGCGCCGUCGCUCAACGGAUAAAAGGUACCCCGGGGAUAACAGGCUGAUCUUGCCCAAGAGUCCAUAUCGACGGCAUGGUUUGGCACCUCGGUGUCGGCUCGUCGCAUCCUGGGGCUGGAGUGGGUCCCAAGGGUUGGGCUGUUCGCCCAUUAAAGCGGUACGCGAGCUGGGUUUAGAACGUCGUGAGACAGUUCGGUCCCUAUCCUCUGCGCGCGCAGGAAACUUGAGAAGGGCUGUCCCUAGUACGAGAGGACCGGGAUGGACGAACCUCUGGUGUGUCAGUUGUUCUGCCAAGAGCACCGCUGAUUAGCUACGUUCGGGAGUGAUAACCGCUGAAAGCGUCUAAGCGGGAAGCAUGCUUCAAGAUGAGGUUUCCAUGGGGUUUACCCCGAGAGGCUCCCAGCUAGACUACUGGGUUGAUAGGCCGGAUGUGGAAGUGCGGUAACGCAUGGAGCUGACCGGUACUAAUAAGCCGAUAACUUGACU